This 406-nucleotide ribosomal RNA is filed under the name uncultured bacterium. RNAcentral describes it as "partial 16S ribosomal RNA". It matches the Rfam family "Bacterial small subunit ribosomal RNA", at positions 29 to 526 of the family's 1533-position model. The record is from RNAcentral.
AUUGAACGCUGGCGGCAGGCUUAACACAUGCAAGUCGAGCGAGCGGCGGACGGGUGAGUAAUGUCUGGGAAACUGCCUGAGGGAGGGGGCUAACUACUGGAAACGGUAGCUAAUACCGCCUACCAUCCGAUGCGCCCAGCUGGGAGUAGCUAGGAUGUGGGGUAAUGGCUCACCUAGGAGACGAUCCCUAGCUGGUCUGAGAGGAUGACCAGCCAGACUGGAACUGAGCCCCGGUCCAGACUCCGACGAGAGGCAGCAGUGGGGAAUAUUGCACAAUGGGCGCAAGCCUGAUUCAGCCAUGCCGCGUGUGUGAAGAAGGCCUUCGGGUUGUAGAGCACUGUCAGCGGGGAGGCGUUACUCGCAGAAGAAGCACCGGCUAACUCCGUGCCAGCAGCCGCGGUAAUAC